Molecule: transfer RNA, 57 nt
Filed under: Odocoileus virginianus texanus
Lineage: Eukaryota; Metazoa; Chordata; Mammalia; Artiodactyla; Cervidae
Also listed under: 6 other names
Rfam family: tRNA
About the family: Transfer RNA (tRNA) molecules are approximately 80 nucleotides in length. Their secondary structure includes four short double-helical elements and three loops (D, anti-codon, and T loops).
Source: Rfam by way of RNAcentral
UAGCUCAGUUGGUAAAGAACCUGCCUGCAAUGCAGGAGACCCUGGUUUGAUUCCUGG